GACGAACGCUGGCGGCGUGCUUAACACAUGCAAGUCGAGCGGAAAGGCCACUUCGGUGGUACUCGAGCGGCGAACGGGUGAGUAACACGUGAGUAAUCUGCCCCUCACUUUGGGAUAGCCACCGGAAACGGUGAUUAAUACCGGAUAUGACCAUCUGUCGCAUGGCGUGUGGUGGAAAGUUUUUCGGUGAGGGAUGUUCUCGCGGCCUAUCAGCUUGAUGGUGAGGUAAUGGCUCACCAUGGCUUCGACGGGUAGCCGGCCUGAGAGGGUGACCGGUCACAGGGGGACUGAGACACGGGCAGGACACCUGAGGGAGGCAGGAGUGGGGAAUUGUGGACAACGGGCGGAAGGCUGAUCCAGCAAUGCCGCGUGGGUGAAGAAGGCCUUCGGGUUGGAAAGCACUUGUGUACGGAAAGAAAGCCGUGGAGCUAAUAAAGGCGGGGGAUGACGGUACCGGAAGAAUAAGCACAGGAUAACUACGUG
This 483-nucleotide ribosomal RNA is filed under the name uncultured bacterium. Its description in RNAcentral is "partial 16S ribosomal RNA". It matches the Rfam family "Bacterial small subunit ribosomal RNA", at positions 28 to 507 of the family's 1533-position model. The record is from RNAcentral.